UACGGGAGGCAGCAGUGGGGAAUAUUGCACAAUGGGCGAAAGCCUGAUGCAGCUAUGCCGCGUGUAUGAAGAAGGCCUUAGGGUUGUAAAGUACUUUCAUCGGGGAGGAAAAAACAAAACUAAUAAUUUUAUUUCUUGACGUUACCCGAAAAAGAAGCACCGGCUAACUCCGUGCCAGCAGCCGCGGUAAUACGGAGGGUGCUAGCGUUAAUCAGAAUUACUGGGCGUAAAGAGCACGUAGGUGGUUUUUUUAAAGUCAGAUGUGAAAUCCCUGGGCUUAACCUAGGAACUGCAUUUUGAAACUGAAAUACUAGAGUAUCGUAGAGGGAGGUAGAAUUCUAGGUGUAGCGGUGAAAUGCGUAGAUAUCUGGAGGAAUACCUGUGGCGAAAGCGGCCUCCUAAACGAAUACUGACACUGAGGUGCAAAGGCGUGGGGAGCAAACAGGGAUUAGAUACCCGU
RNAcentral lists this ribosomal RNA (460 nucleotides) under uncultured bacterium. RNAcentral describes it as "bacterial SSU rRNA". It matches the Rfam family "Bacterial small subunit ribosomal RNA", at positions 340 to 789 of the family's 1533-position model. The record is from RNAcentral.